This 491-nucleotide ribosomal RNA is filed under the name uncultured bacterium. Its description in RNAcentral is "bacterial SSU rRNA". It matches the Rfam family "Bacterial small subunit ribosomal RNA", at positions 33 to 507 of the family's 1533-position model. The record is from RNAcentral.
GACGACGCUGGCGGCGUGCCUGACACAUGCAAGUCGGACGGUUCUUGUACCUUCAAGCUUGCUUGUUGGUGCAAGGAUAGUGGCGGACGGGUGAGUAACGCGUGAACAUCUACCCAUUGGAGGGGGACAACCCGUCGAAAGGCGGGCUAAUACCGCGUAAGCCGCGAGGUGAGAGGCUGCCUAUUGGUGGCCGCCGAUGGAUGGGUUCGCGUCCUAUCAGCUGGUUGGUGGGGUAACGGCCUACCAAGGCGAAGACGGGUAGCCGGUCUGAGAGGAUGGCCGGCCACACUGGAACUGAGACACGGUCCAGACUCCUACGGGAGGCAGCAGUGGGGAAUAUUGGGCAAUGGGGGAGACCCUGACGCAGCAACGCCGCGUGAGUGAGGAAGGUUUUCGGACUGUAAAGCUCUGUCGAGCGGGAAGAAAUGCCUGAUGGCUAAUAUCCAUCAUGCUUGACGGUACCGCUAGAGGAAGCACCGGCUAACUCCGUG